This is a long non-coding RNA of Lemur catta (Ring-tailed lemur), 3461 nucleotides long. RefSeq lists it as uncharacterized. NCBI's taxonomy places the organism in Eukaryota, Metazoa, Chordata, Mammalia, Primates, Lemuridae. The record is from RefSeq and is a predicted model, not a curated record. The transcript is spliced from 2 exons.
UCCAGAACAACGGGUUCCCGCUGCUGCCCCCUGCCGCCCACAGCGCCCCACGCCCCCGCCGGGCUCCGAGAGGGGCGUCGGGGGCGCCGCUGCUGCUGGGGCCGUGGGAACCGGAGCCGACAUAUACUAGAACUGACCGGUUUCCUGUUAGAAAACUUCAGUUACUUUAGAGAAGCCGGUUUCUCUAGCUUAGUGACCUGCCUUGUACUUUAAAACGAGGACUUGGGGGAAGCAGUCGGUUGAUAAGACGAAGAGCAACACCACGUUGCUCUGCUCUGACUCAAAGGAAAUUAAACAAAAUACUGAUUGUGAGAAUUUUUAAAGGGCUACCAACGGAACUCGGGUUUUUUGAGUGAUAGCUUUUUUCCCCCCGUGUGUACACAAAGAUGCACAUACGAGUUUGUUACAGCAGUACAUUUGCUCGUAAACUUACUUGAGUUUGUGGUUUAAAAAACCUCAUGAACUUUUCAAAAGAGAGGCGUUUGUUUCCGAAUCCAACAGAAAAAACCAAUUCGGAAGAGCUGAAAAAGUUCACUUAGAAUAGCAGUCACAUUUCAACAUUUUCCAUAUUUUGCAAUAUUAAACUGUGAGUCUUUGUGCCAAAUUUUAAGGCAAGAAUUCUUACUGCCAAAUUACAAAUUUCUUAAGAUGAGGGGUGAUCAACCAAAUUGCUGCCAGACCCUAUAAACAGGCACUAACAGCACUGCUAUAAUUACAUCUUAUUAUCUCCCUCGCAGCGUUAUUUGAUUCACUGCUGGAUAAAAUCGUCAUCCCGGGUGUUACUAACUGGCCUUUUUCUGGGGCUGAACACCUUCCAUGCCUCUGUUCCUCCAACAAACAGUAAAACCCAUCACCCUCUAUUCCAUCUCUAGUCCGUCUCUUCCUCAAAUGCAACACAAUCAGGGAGAAAAAGAAGAGAUCAUGCUGGAUGUCAUCUCCUGAUAGAUUCUCAUUCUUCUAGCCUUUACUCUUCCUCUUAAAUAACAAUUCUACCCUGCUCCUCACCGGCCACAGAUUGAGGGGCAUUCAUUCACAAAUGACUCUUGAGCCUCCUUCUGAACGUCUGCUUCCUUAUAAAGCCAAAACCUCAAUACCAACGCUUAAUGAAUCAAGGCUUGUGAAGAUGCAGGCAGAAAACCCAAGUGCCUGAGAGAAAUAAUCUCUUUUCUGUUCUACCUUUAAAUUCUCUUACAACAUGCAGGAAUAAUAAUAGCCGUUCUUCACUAUGUGUGAGCCAGGCCCUGUUUGUUCUAAGCCCUUUAUAUGAAUUAACUUCUCACAACAGGCCUAAGAAGUGGGUACAAUUGUUGCCGCUAUUUUAUAGAUGAGGAAAUUAAGACACAGAGAAUUAAGUAACUGGCCCAAGAUCACCCAGUCUGGAAGCAUCCGAGCUAGGAUUUGAAUCCUGGAUGUUCCUGUUAUGGUUUUCAUCACUCAAGCUGGUUAUAAAUUUAACUGACUAUAGCGUAUAAAGUCACCAUUAAUUGAUCACAUUUUGUAUUCAGGAGGUCCUGUAUGUGACCAAGUCCUGGGCCAUAUUUUUCCCUCUGGAACUCCAGUGAAGUGAAAUUUGUUGAGAUCUGCUUAGGGAAAGCAUUCCCAAAUCAGAUUACCCUCUUGGAAGCCAGCCUCAGACUGUCAGCAUAUGCACUGUAAGUGCUAACCAGGACAGACAAUUCAACCUCACUGGAUAAUAAUGUUUCACAAUAUUCCUACCUCAAAUUAUAAAGAAGCAAGAUGGUUAAAGAUGGUUAAAUUUGGAUUCUCUGAUGUUGGACAAGGUAGAACCCAGGAGGUGAAAUGGGAAGAGAGACAGCAAUGGAAGGAAGCUGAGAGAAAAUAAAUGUAACAUAUGUGCACAUGGAGAGAUCAGUAUUACACUGCAAAGAAUGCCGAUCAAGGUCAUGCAGAAGAGAAGUGUGUGGGUGUGUUAUGACAGAACUAGAAAAGGAGCAUAAACAUGAAAACUGAGUACAUGGCAAGGGGAGGUGGUAGGGAGUAAUGUUGGGUUGUUUCCCCAUAUGGAGCUUCAAAUAAAUUAAGUACAAUUUUAGGCUGGAUUAAUAGAAAUACAUCAUCUGGAACAUCGAAAGAAAGAGCUCCACCUUAUUUUAUGUAAGAUCACAUCUAAGUAACGUGUUCUCUUUUAGAGGGAUAUAAUAAAGAGAACGACCAACCAAGAUGAUGAGGGAACUUGAAACCCUAACUUAAGAAGAGUUGAAGAAUUCAUGAGUGAUCAAAGAGAUGUCUUGAAAUACCUCAUGGGCUAUUGUGUAAAAAGGAAUUAGACUUGCACUGGAAGGCUCCAAGGCUCUAGAACUGAUGAUGGGUAGGAACUUCAGAGACACAUAUUUUUGCUCAGAAUAGGGAAGAAGUCAUGGAAAUAUGAAAUAGGCUGCCUUAGAAUGUAACAAGCUCCAUAUCACUGGAGGCAUUCAAAGUGCACAUUGUCACUGGCCUAUAUAAUGUUUAAGGUGCCUUUCAUCCUUACUCUGCCAGUCACUUAUAAACUAAAGAGUGGGAAAACAAUAUAGCCUACUUCAUUAGGUUCUUGAAGAGCACUUAGCACAGUGAUAGCCAGCACUUUCUAAAAGUCAGAUGCUAAUAACAUUCCUAAAGUCCUGAGGUUUAAUAUUUCUACAUUUGUCAGUGGGCAAUUAUUUCACCUUGUGUUUUUAGAUCACUUUUUGACAUUAUCAAUAUUAUCCUGAGUGGUGGAUUUGGUAUCACUCAGCUUCCUUAGGAUAUCCUUGUGUACUUAAAACUUAUUUAGUAGUGUCCAGGGAGCAGUAUUGUGAUUUCAGUACCAGUAGGAUCUUAAAAUUUGAAUUGUAGCCCCACACUGCAGUUCCGGAGGCCAACAGUGUGGUAAGAUAAUGUGGGUGACAUUAUCCCCCUACAUUAUAGGAAUGGUGGAGAAAAUAAUAAAAUCUGGCAGACUGAGAGAACUCAAGCAACGCAGCUUUGUGUUGACAGUUGAAAAGCAAUAGCAACUGAGGUCAGCCUUAUACUUAACACACAAGAAUCAUACUAGAUGGCUCAUCUUGAGCAAAAAGUGUCAUGAAGCCCAUGAAACCAAGUGAAAAAGCUGGGUACUGGGAGAUGAAGACAAGCCAACCAAUGAGCCGGUUACUUGCUCAAUGGGAAACUAGUUCUGUGAAGACUGCUAUUCCAUGGAGAAUAUGGCUGACCUCAGCAGCAUCUUCAAAUAAGAGAAAGCACACAUGACUUUUAAAAGGGACAAUGAAGUUGUCUUAGCAAUCAAACUUAUUUAAAUUCUUAGUUCCUCCAACCAGAAGGGAAAAUUGAGAGGAGGCAAUAUGGCCCUGCCUCUGCUGAGUGACUACAGCAAGUGGCUUUACCUCUCCAAGCCUCGGUUUUCUCAUCUGUAAAUGGGAAUAAUGACAUGUCAUUGCAUUGACAUGAGAAUUAUUUGAUAUAUUAAAUGUAAAGUAUACUUA